This 554-nucleotide ribosomal RNA is filed under the name uncultured bacterium. RNAcentral's name for it is "bacterial SSU rRNA". It matches the Rfam family "Bacterial small subunit ribosomal RNA", at positions 153 to 686 of the family's 1533-position model. The record is from RNAcentral.
GAAACGAUAGGUAAUGCCGGAUGUGAUCGACCUCCGCAUGGAGGUCUGUUUAAAGGCGGGGAAUCUUCGGAUCCUGUCGCAAAGAGAUAGGCCCAUAUCCUAUCAGCUUGUUGGUGAGGUAAUGGCUCACCAAGGCUUACGGGUAGCCGGCCUGAGAGGGUGAUCGGCCACACUGGGACUGAGACACUGCCCAGACUCCUACGGGAGGCUGCAGUCGAGAAUCAUUGACAAUGCACGAAAGUGUGAUCAUGCGACGCCGCGUGGAGGAAGACGGCCUUCGGGUUGUAAACUCCUGUCAGCAGGGAAGAAAGAUAGCCUUACUAAUAUCAGGGUUAUUUGACGGUACCUGCAGAGGAAGUCACGGCUAACUCUGUGCCAGCAGCCGCGGUAAUACAGAGGUGGCGAACGUUGUUCGGAUUUACUGGGCGUAAAGGGUCCGCAGGCGGAUCGGUAUGUCGGAUGUGAAAGCUCACAGCUCAACUGUGGAAUUGCAUUCGAAACUGCCGAUCUAGAGUACUGGAGGGGAGAAGGGAAUUCUUGGUGUAGCGGUGAAA